UGGGGGAUAUUGCACAAUGGAGGAAACUCUGAUGCAGCAACGCCGCGUGAGGGAAGAAGGUCUUCGGAUUGUAAACCUUAGUAGUCAGGGACGAAACAAAUGACGGUACCUGAAGAGUAAGCUCCGGCUAACUACGUGCCAGCAGCCGCGGUAAUACGUAGGGAGCGAGCGUUGUCCGGAAUUACUGGGUGUAAAGGGUGCGUAGGCGGGACUGCAAGUCAGGCGUGAAAUACCGGGGCUUAACUCCGGGGCUGCGCUUGAAACUGUGGUUCUUGAGUGAAGUAGAGGCAGGCGGAAUUCCUAGUGUAGCGGUGAAAUGCGUAGAUAUUAGGAGGAACACCAGUGGCGAAGGCGGCCUGCUGGGCUUUAACUGACGCUGAGGCACGAAAGCAUGGGGAGCAAACAGG
RNAcentral lists this ribosomal RNA (407 nucleotides) under uncultured prokaryote. RNAcentral's name for it is "bacterial SSU rRNA". It matches the Rfam family "Bacterial small subunit ribosomal RNA", at positions 355 to 776 of the family's 1533-position model. RNAcentral also lists the same sequence under 1 other name. The record is from RNAcentral.